Molecule: ribosomal RNA, 695 nt
Filed under: uncultured Clostridium sp.
Lineage: Bacteria; Bacillati; Bacillota; Clostridia; Eubacteriales; Clostridiaceae
Description: bacterial SSU rRNA
Rfam family: Bacterial small subunit ribosomal RNA
Source: RNAcentral
GAUGAACGCUGGCGGCGUGCCUAACACAUGCAAGUCGAGCGAUCUUCUUCGGAAGAGAGCGGCGGACGGGUGAGUAACGCGUGGGUAACCUGCCCUGUACACACGGAUAACAUACCGAAAGGUAUGCUAAUACGGGAUAACAUAAGAGAGUCGCAUGGCUAUCUUAUCAAAGCUUUUGCGGUACAGGAUGGACCCGCGUCUGAUUAGCUAGUUGGUAAGGUAACGGCUUACCAAGGCGACGAUUAGUAGCCGACCUGAGAGGGUGAUCGGCCACAUUGGAACUGAGACACGGUCCAAACUCCUACGGGAGGCAGCAGUGGGGAAUAUUGCACAAUGGGCGAAAGCCUGAUGCAGCAACGCCGCGUGAGCGAUGAAGGCCUUCGGGUCGUAAAGCUCUGUCCUCAAGGAAGAUAAUGACGGUACUUGAGGAGGAAGCCCCGGCUAACUACGUGCCAGCAGCCGCGGUAAUACGUAGGGGGCUAGCGUUAUCCGGAAUUACUGGGCGUAAAGGGUGCGUAGGCGGUCUUUCAAGUCAGAAGUGAAAGGCUACGGCUCAACCGUAGUAAGCUUUUGAAACUGUAAGACUUGAGUGCAGGAGAGGAGAGUGGAAUUCCUAGUGAAGCGGUGAAAUGCGUAGAUAUUAGGAGGAACACCAGUUGCGAAGGCGGCUCUCUGGACUGUAACUGACGCUGAGG